Molecule: ribosomal RNA, 258 nt
Filed under: uncultured bacterium
Lineage: Bacteria
Description: partial 16S ribosomal RNA
Rfam family: Bacterial small subunit ribosomal RNA
Source: RNAcentral
CGGCGGACGGGUGAGUAACGCGUGGGUAACCUGCCUCAUACAGGGGGAUAACAGUUAGAAAUGACUGCUAAUACCGCAUAAGACCACAGGGCCGCAUGGCCCGGUGGUAAAAACUCCGGUGGUAUGAGAUGGACCCGCGUCUGAUUAGCUGGUUGGUGGGGUAACGGCCUACCAAGGCGACGAUCAGUAGCCGACCUGAGAGGGUGACCGGCCACAUUGGGACUGAGACACGGCCCAAACUCCUACGGGAGGCAGCAG